Molecule: ribosomal RNA, 220 nt
Filed under: uncultured bacterium
Lineage: Bacteria
Description: partial 16S ribosomal RNA
Rfam family: Bacterial small subunit ribosomal RNA
Source: RNAcentral
CAACGUGAGCAACCUGCCCGAAGACCGGGACAAGCCGGGGAAACCUGGUCUAAUACCGGAUGUCCUCACCGGAUCGCAUGGUCUGGUGAGGAAAUGGAUUCCGCUUCGGGAUGGGCUCGCGGUCUAUCAGCUUGUUGGUGAGGUAACGGCUCACCAAGGCGACGACGGAUAGCUGGUCUGAGAGGACGAUCAGCCACACUGGGACUGAGACACGGCCCAG